RNAcentral lists this long non-coding RNA (341 nucleotides) under Nicotiana tabacum (common tobacco). RNAcentral describes it as "long non-coding RNA (NTAB_LNC017331)". The record is from RNAcentral. Lineage: Eukaryota; Viridiplantae; Streptophyta; Magnoliopsida; Solanales; Solanaceae.
UUUGAGAAUAAACAAGUAUCCUUCCUCUCAGAAAAAAUAAAAAGUUGAAACAAUGGCUGUCUCUUCUUCACCAAAAUUGAUUUUGCUUUUGGUCACUCUCAUGGCUACUGGUUAAUGACUAUCUCCUUCCCUCAUUUCGUUUGAUCGUUUCUAUAUUGAAAGUACAAGUUAGAUCUAACAUAUAGGAGUAUGACAUUAAUUAUACUUUAUGUUUUGCAUGCAUGCAGCUCAUCUGAUGACUUGGCCUCAAGUAAACGCCGUGAGAGAAAUUGGUGAAGAAUUAAGAGGAAUGCAAUUACUGUACCCUCAUGAUCUAAAUGGUGUUACUUGUGCGAGACGAU